UCCUGGUUUCCCAGGCAGUCCCGCCAGAGUGCUUUACCUAAAAAGGCAGUUGCAACUGACAGCAAGGGUUGCGCUCGUUAAAGGACUUAACCCAACAUCUCACGACACGAGCUGACGACAGCCAUGCAGCACCUGUGUAUAUGUCUAGACUAAAAGCCUAGAAAACUUUAUCUCUAAAGCGAUCAUAUACAUGUCAAAUCCAGGUAAGGUUCCUCGCGUAGUGUCGAAUUAAACCACAUGUUCCACCGCUUGUGCGGACCCCCGUCAAUUCCUUUGAGUUUUAGUCUUGCGACCGUAAUCCCCAGGCGAAUCACUUAACGCGUUAGCUACGACACUAAUCCGAAAAAUCAGACUAACAUCUAGUGAUCAUCGUUUACAGCGUGGACUAC
Molecule: unclassified non-coding RNA, 389 nt
Filed under: uncultured bacterium
Lineage: Bacteria
Description: contains 16S-23S intergenic spacer region
Source: RNAcentral